RNAcentral lists this ribosomal RNA (497 nucleotides) under uncultured bacterium. RNAcentral's name for it is "partial 16S ribosomal RNA". It matches the Rfam family "Bacterial small subunit ribosomal RNA", at positions 28 to 507 of the family's 1533-position model. The record is from RNAcentral.
GAUGAACGCUGGCGGCGUGCCUAAUACAUGCAAGUCGAGCGAACGGACGAGAAGCUUGCUUCUCUGAUGUUAGCGGCGGACGGGUGAGUAACACGUGGAUAACCUACCUAUAAGACUGGGAUAACUUCGGGAAACCGUAGCUAAUACCGGAUAAUAUUUUGAACCGCAUGGUUCAAAAGUGAAAGACGGUCUUGCUGUCACUUAUAGAUGGAUCCGCGCUGCAUUAGCUAGUUGGUAAGGUAACGGCUUACCAAGGCAACGAUGCAUAGCCGACCUGAGAGGGUGAUCGGCCACACUGGAACUGAGACACGGUCCAGACUCCUAAGGGAGGCAGCAGUAGGGAAUCUUACGCAAUGGGCGAAAGCCUGACGGAGCAACGCCGCGUGAGUGAUGAAGGUCUUCGGAUCGUAAAACUCUGUUAUUAGGGAAGAACAUAUGUGUAAGUAACUGUGCACAUCUUGACGGUACCUAAUCAGAAAGCCACGGCUAACUACGUG